AGAGUUUGAUUCUGGCUCAGGAUGAACGCUGGCGGCGUGCUUAACACAUGCAAGUCGAACGGGAUCCCGGGGGUUCGCUCCCGGGUGAGAGUGGCGAACGGGUGAGUAAUGCGUGACCGACCUGCCCCAUACACCGGAAUAGCUCCUGGAAACGGGUGGUAAUGCCGGAUGCUCCAGUCCAUCGCAUGGUGGUCUGGGAAAGAUUCCAUCGGUAUGGGAUGGGGUCGCGUCCUAUCAGCUUGAUGGCGGGGUAACGGCCCACCAUGGCUUCGACGGGUAGCCGGCCUGAGAGGGCGACCGGCCACAUUGGGACUGAGAUACGGCCCAGACUCCUACGGGAGGCAGCAGUGGGGAAUAUUGCACAAUGGGCGCAAGCCUGAUGCAGCGACGCCGCGUGCGGGAUGGAGGCCUUCGGGUUGUAAACCGCUUUUGAUCGGGAGCAAGCCCUUCGGGGUGAGUGUACCUUUCGAAUAAGCACCGGCUAACUACGUGCCAGCAGCCGCGGU
RNAcentral lists this ribosomal RNA (506 nucleotides) under Bifidobacterium sp. oral clone 5RH-30. RNAcentral's name for it is "bacterial SSU rRNA". It matches the Rfam family "Bacterial small subunit ribosomal RNA", at positions 8 to 521 of the family's 1533-position model. Lineage: Bacteria; Bacillati; Actinomycetota; Actinomycetes; Bifidobacteriales; Bifidobacteriaceae. The record is from RNAcentral.